Molecule: unclassified non-coding RNA, 336 nt
Filed under: soil metagenome
Description: partial contains 5.8S ribosomal RNA, internal transcribed spacer 2, and large subunit ribosomal RNA
Rfam family: 5.8S ribosomal RNA (bases 1-120)
Source: RNAcentral
GAUGAAGAACGCAGCGAAAUGCGAUAAGUAGUGUGAAUUGCAGAAUUCAGUGAAUCAUCGAAUCUUUGAACGCACAUUGCGCCACUUGGUAUUCCAUGGGGCAUGCCUGUUCGAGCGUCAUUUGUACCUUCAAGCUUUGCUUGGUGUUGGGUGUUUGUCUCGCCUUUGCGUGUAGACUCGCCUUAAAAUAAUUGGCAGCCGGCGUAUUGAUUUCGGAGCGCAGUACAUCUCGCGCUUUGCACUCAUAACGACAGCGUCCAAAAGUACAUUUUACACUCUUGACCUCGGAUCAGGUAGGGAUACCCGCUGAACUUAAGCAUAUCAAUAAGCGGAGGA